GCGCCGGUAGCUCAGUUGGUAGAGCAGCUGACUCUUAAUCAGCGGGUCCCGUGUUCGAGCCACGGCCGGCGCACCA
RNAcentral lists this transfer RNA (76 nucleotides) under Candidatus Margulisiibacteriota bacterium. RNAcentral's name for it is "tRNA-Lys". It matches the Rfam family "tRNA". Rfam says of the family: Transfer RNA (tRNA) molecules are approximately 80 nucleotides in length. Their secondary structure includes four short double-helical elements and three loops (D, anti-codon, and T loops). Lineage: Bacteria; Bacillati; Candidatus Margulisiibacteriota. The record is from RNAcentral.